CGAUCGAAGGAUCAAAAUGAAAGUUAAUCUCAGAGCUGAAGAGGGUUGACACAUAAAAAAAAUUAGAAAAUAAUAUCAAGAGUUUUCGCUAUUCAAUUUAUAUGUCUAUAUUAUGUUAUAUAUAUAUAUAUAUGUAUACCAGGAAUAUUAUGAGGGUAUCUUUUUUUUUCCUUGAUUUCUCUCUCUCUAGCAAGUAGGUGAUUUCUGUUGAUUUUCUGAUAUAAAAAAUUUGUUAAAUACAGCAAAAAUAAAUUCUGGAACAAAAGGGGAGCUUUGAAAUUUGGACUGAUAAUGAAGAAUUAAAUGAAUUUUGGAUAACAGACACAACCAGAGUCAAUAAAUUCCUUCCAACUUGCCCAAAAUAUUAUCACCUCUCAAACUUUUC
This 385-nucleotide long non-coding RNA is filed under the name Nicotiana benthamiana. RNAcentral's name for it is "long non-coding RNA (NBEN_LNC024313)". The record is from RNAcentral. Lineage: Eukaryota; Viridiplantae; Streptophyta; Magnoliopsida; Solanales; Solanaceae.